GUCAUUUCUGGAAGUGUGAAAACCAGCUGGUAGGGUCCUCUCCUGCUCCCUUUUUUGUCCUUUUCGACGUUUUCAUUUCACUCUUCUUCUUAUAACCCACCCUCUCCCUCUCCCUCUCUAUUCCCCUUCAUCCCUCUCACUCUCUCCAUACCCACAAAAGUGACUAGCUUUUACUAUGUCUCUCCCCCAGCUAGGGUUGAAGAUGAUGAAGAAGAACCCCAGAUGGAAGCCUUGUGUUUUGAGGGGAAUGUUGUCUGGCUCGAGGAGGACGUGCCCUUCAUCUCCACGAUCGAUUUACUUUUUAUUUGUCGUCGUCGUCGGACCAGGCUUCAUUCCCCCCAAUUAUAUGUGCUUCUCCCACUUCAUUACUUGAAAGGGUCUUCUUAAUUUUUAAGAGCAAUUGAAGAUGUGGGUAAUGCGCAGAUUGGUGUAAUCAUGACCAUUUUGACCAAUUUCUCUGCUUCAACAAAAGGCUCUCAUCAUUGCCUCCUUUUUCGGAUUUCAUCACUUUCUUCUUUUCUCUCGGAUCAAGUUAUGAAUCAUGAUGAUGGUAUUUUUGUUGUUGUUGUCAGGUUUCUUCGAUCAUCAUUACCCUAUCGAUGAGCUCUUCUUCUUCUUCUAAUCAUCACGAAUUCCAGUAUCCGAUCGUUCUGUUUCUGGCAUUUUUUUUUUCCAGAUCCGGCAUGCCCAGCUCAACAACUCCCCCUCCCCCACCUCUCUCUCUCUCACACACACUCAGAGAGAGACUAUCUUUGAUUUUUAGGGUUUCAUGGGCUAUGUGUAAUUUGUGGCCCUAGUCUCAACAAGUCUUGCUAGCCAUGGAUGAACAAGCAAAUGUAGACACAACUUCUAUCAGUCAUUUUCCGGAUGUCAACUCUUGGCGACAUAACUGAAGCCUAACAUGAUUAUAAUUAAAUUGAGUUCAAUAAUGAACCAUGUGCGUGUAUUCUCCCCAUGAUUAGCGAUGGCUAUAGACUCAUAGAGUAGGUUGCUUUGUA
Long non-coding RNA from Prosopis cineraria, 998 nucleotides. RefSeq lists it as uncharacterized. NCBI's taxonomy places the organism in Eukaryota, Viridiplantae, Streptophyta, Magnoliopsida, Fabales, Fabaceae. The record is from RefSeq and is a predicted model, not a curated record. The transcript has 2 exons.